Molecule: ribosomal RNA, 253 nt
Filed under: uncultured bacterium
Lineage: Bacteria
Description: partial 16S ribosomal RNA
Rfam family: Bacterial small subunit ribosomal RNA
Source: RNAcentral
UACGGAGGGUGCAAGCGUUAUCCGGAUUCACUGGGUUUAAAGGGUGCGUAGGUGGGCAAGUAAGUCAGUGGUGAAAUCUCCGGGCUUAACCCGGAAACUGCCAUUGAUGCUAUUUGUCUUGAAUACUGUGGAGGUCAGCGGAAUAUGUCAUGUAGCGGUGAAAUGCUUAGAUAUGACAUAGAACACCAAUUGCGAAGGCAGCUGGCUACACAAAUAUUGACACUGAGGCACGAAAGCGUGGGGAUCAAACAGG